UCCUGGCUCAGGAUGAACGCUGGCGGCGUGCUUAACACAUGCAAGUCGAACGGACUGGAGGAGCCUUGCGUCCAAAGGUUAGUGGCGGACGGGUGAGUAACGCGUGGGUAACCUGCCUCAUACAGGGGGAUAACAGUGAGAAAUCACUGCUAAUACCGCAUAUGCGCACAGUACCGCAUGGUACAGUGUGGAAAACUCCGGUGGUAUGAGAUGGACCCGCGUUGGAUUAGCUAGUUGGUGAGGUAGAGGCUCACCAAGGCGACGAUCAGUANCCGGCCUGAGAGGGUUGAAACGGGCCACAUUGGGACUGAGACACGGCCCAAACUCCUACGGGAGGCAGCAGUGGGGAAUAUUGCACAAUGGGGGAAACCCUGAUGCAGCAACGCCGCGUGAGUGAAGAAGUAUUUCGGUAUGUAAAGCUCUAUCAGCAGGGAAGAAAAUGACGGUACCUGACUAAGAAGCCCCGGCUAACUACGUG
RNAcentral lists this ribosomal RNA (478 nucleotides) under uncultured bacterium. RNAcentral describes it as "bacterial SSU rRNA". It matches the Rfam family "Bacterial small subunit ribosomal RNA", at positions 17 to 507 of the family's 1533-position model. The record is from RNAcentral.